AGUUCCUAUACAACACACACGUCCUGGGCAUUGUCUUGCUAUCGCUGGAAAAAGUAAAAAGAAAGAGAGGCAGAGCAGACGGCCAGGCAGACCUGCGGUGUGUGACACUGCGAUAUUAUAUGGAAAAUUAGACUCAUUCUCUGAGGGAGUCUACGAGGUAACUGGGGCCAGGAAACAUUUACAGCUGCGAUGCCUUUCUGAGCGGACCGGAGUGCGCGUUCCUCAAGUAAUUGUUUAAGUGCCAAUUCUCGGAUCUUGGAACUCCUAGCCUCGGUGGAUCUAUCCAGUUUCUGAUCAGACCAGACGUAGGACAACCAAGUUUCACGAUGCCGCGUCUUAUGCCAAGAUUUGCCAGCAACUUUUACCAGUACCUCAUCCGAACUGCGGAGAAGAAAGUGCCGCCAAAGUUGAUGCCGAUGUGGGAACAUCCUGCAGGACCGAAGACGAUAUUUUUUUGGUGUCCCUUCGCGAAAUGG
Molecule: RNA transcript, 476 nt
Organism: Aplysia californica (California sea hare)
Lineage: Eukaryota; Metazoa; Mollusca; Gastropoda; Aplysiida; Aplysiidae
Exons: 3
Source: RefSeq, a predicted model, not a curated record